GGAAGGGUCAUAGUUCAGUGGGAAAAUGUUUGCUUUGCAUGCAGAAGGUCCCUGGUUCAAUCCUCAGCAUCUCUUUUU
Molecule: non-coding RNA, 78 nt
Organism: Podarcis lilfordi (Lilford's wall lizard)
Lineage: Eukaryota; Metazoa; Chordata; Lepidosauria; Squamata; Lacertidae
Source: the annotation of a GenBank genome assembly